Oncorhynchus keta (chum salmon) is the source of this 378-nucleotide long non-coding RNA. RefSeq lists it as uncharacterized. NCBI's taxonomy places the organism in Eukaryota, Metazoa, Chordata, Actinopteri, Salmoniformes, Salmonidae. The transcript is spliced from 3 exons. The record is from RefSeq and is a predicted model, not a curated record.
AGAGAGAGAGAGAGAGAGGAAGAGGUGUUUGAGAGAGGGAGAGAGAGAGAGAGGAAGAGGUGUUUGAGAGAGGGAGAGAGAGAGAGGAAGAGGUGUUUGAGAGAGGGAGAGAGAGGAAGAGGUGUUUGAGAGAGAGAGGAAGAGGUGUUUGAGAGAGGGAGAGAGAGAGAAAGGAAGAGGUGUUUGAGAGAGGGAGAGAGAGAGGAAGAGGUGUUUGAGAGAGGAGAGAGAGAGAGGAAGAGGUGUUUGAGAGAGGGAGAGAGAGAGAGGAAGAGGUGUUUGAGAGAGGGAGAGAGAGAGAGAAAGGAAGAGGUGUUUGAGAGAGGGAGAGAGAGAGAGAGAGAAAGGAAGAGGUGUUAGAGAGGGAGAGAGAGAGAG